Octopus bimaculoides (California two-spot octopus) is the source of this 2596-nucleotide long non-coding RNA. The record is from RefSeq and is a predicted model, not a curated record. Lineage: Eukaryota; Metazoa; Mollusca; Cephalopoda; Octopoda; Octopodidae.
AGCAACUCGGGGUGGUAAGAUAAAUAAAUGUGUAUAAGCAGGGAAGGAAUACACACACACACACACACACACACACACACGGUCAUCCAGCUGCAUGAAAACCAGGAUCAAAUCAGAUACAACGUUGUUUCUAAGAUUUUACCUAUCGGCAACGGUUAAAGCAAGACUAUCUUUGCGCAUUCCCUUUUCACCAUUUUCUUCACUGUUGAAGACAGCAUUUAUUUCCGUUCCCGUAUUACUGGCAGCCUUUUCAACCCGAGGCGCCAGCAAGUUCCUACCAAAACACUGGAACAAUUCAUCCAUGGAUUACUCUUUGCAGACGAUGCCGCGCUUCUUGCCCGUGCAAAGACAGUUCUGCAACGCAUCACCUUUUGCUUUGCAGAAGUUUCUCGGCACUUUGGCCUAGUAGUCAGUUUUCCAUCAACCUGCACACGGCAAUAAUACUGCUUCCCUCACAACGCCAUCGAUGAAACUGAACUAAAUACAAUCAACGAUUUUACCGACUUAUGGCGCACCAUUACAUCAGAUGGCAACAUCGACAGGGAAGUUGACAAGAAACUGGCGAAGGUAAAUGGUGUAUUCGGUAGAUGUACAAAAGAGUCUGGAACAAUAGCCAUCUGAAGACAUUGCGUCAGGAUCAGUGUAUGCAGAGUCGUCAUGCUGAACACCCUAUGUACAGUUCAGAGUGGUCGGUCAUCGAUCAGGAUCACCUAAGAGAUACAUUCAGUACUGUCAUCACAUCAGCCUCACUAUCCUGUGGAGUGAUUUUGUCGCUAACGUCGAGGUCCUAGAGCCGGUGAGAGUCACCAGCAUUUAAGCAACUCUGUUGAAGACACGUUACCAGGAAGGAGGAUCAUCGAUUUCUCAAGAUCAGCUUUAUGGAGAAUUCUCCCCUGAUCAUCUUGAUAAAGAAGUCUGAAAGAUAUUUGAGGACUCCAUAAAGAAAUCCUUCAGCACUUGUCACGUUGAUCUCCACCCGUGAUCUGUUCUUGUCGCUGACUGUGAAGUCUGGCGUCUCACUGUCCUCCGGGCAACAGCCUCUUUUAGAGAUACCCGCAGGACCAUCCUUGCAGACAAGAGAAAGAGAGAGAACAAGGACGUUGCGAGCAACCCUGAUCAGCACAUUUUCCUCUGCGGCCUCUGCAGUUGUGCUUGUUUGUCCCGAAUAGGAUUGGUCAGCCAUCAUUAAGCCUGCAACAGACAUGAAUAUCCUUCUCUGUAAAUAUUCACUCUUGAAGAGAAACCAAAUGUAACUGAUGGGUGCAGUUUAUUUUCAAACAAUGCCAUUGCUUGAUUGUUCUCUUAAAACAGCAUGGAUGUGGCUUUUCAACCAUGCUAGGGACUUACACUCUUUCGCACAAGUGUGGAAACGACGUUGUGCCUCUUCCAGCAAAUGCUCAGAGAGCUUACCACCCACGCUAACAUACACCUUCAUUGAGUAAUGGAAUUUUUCAUUAAAUCUUUUACCUUUUUCGAUUACGGCCAGUCAAAGUAUGCAACACAUAAUACAGAUGUUAAAACUUAAGUGAUAUCUGUGUCUGAAGCUUUCGUUAAGUGAAGGAAAUCCUCGCACAGGGCCAGUCUCACUUCGCAUACAUUUGCUUAUAAAAAUAACUAUUCUACAUUAUAGGAUGUAAACGAAGUCGCAGGUGCUACAUUAGAGUUUUCCUUCUCCUAGCUACUUACUUCAUCAUAUAGCAUUCCCCAUUUUUAUUAAUUCUUUCCUAAUUUUGGCACGAGGCGAGAAAUUUUGAGGGGAAGUGGCAAGUUGAUUACAUUGACCUCAGUACGUAACUGGUACUUAUUUUAUCGACUCCGGAGAGCUGAAAGGCAAAGUUGACCCUGGUAGAAUUUGGAUUCGACGUAACAAGUCGGAAGGAAUACUAAGCAUUUUAUCCGACGUACUUAUGAUUCUACUAACUCGCUGCCUUCCCCACUUUUAUUAAUGAGGAGAUAAAUUGAAUUUGCCUCCAUAUAAUUCUUUUCGCCAUGAGGUUGGGCAAACUUUAAUAGCUGAAAACCAUCUUAAUUUUAUUAAACCUGGCCGGUUGACCAUAAAUUCUCAAUCUUCACAGUUCCUCCACUCCCGCUCAUAUUGAGGAUGUGACCACCUCUUUCUUCACAGAAAUACUGAGCUGCUCGAUAAAAUCUCUCAUCGACUAGCCGUUGAUGAUAUCUUAGACAGGAGUAUAUAUGCGUGCGCGUGGGAAAGACAGAGAGACUGCAUGCAUGUGUACGUAUACUUGUACACGCACACACACUCAGAUGAAAAGAGAUAGAGAGACAGAGAGGACACCUGAAAAUGGUUGGACAAAAUGCGAAACGAAAUUAAUUAUAAAUCCAUAAAAUGUCAUCUACUAUAUCACUUUUAAUUAGCCUAACGAAUUCCUAUUAGUUUAAUGAGAAUGUACAUUAAAAGGGACGCGACAUCCAUCGGAAAAGUUAUUCACAUGACGAGUUUCUACUGAAAAGUAAAGCAUGAAAGGUGAGGCCUUUCUGACUGAUGUUUAAAGCUGGAUAAUGAUAUGGACGAAUCUGUUUGCAAAAGUAAUUCUGAAGAAUUGAAGAGGUAAAUUUACCUUAUCUUGUCUUACUC